RNAcentral lists this ribosomal RNA (369 nucleotides) under uncultured bacterium. RNAcentral's name for it is "partial 16S ribosomal RNA". It matches the Rfam family "Bacterial small subunit ribosomal RNA", at positions 338 to 724 of the family's 1533-position model. The record is from RNAcentral.
CCUACGGGAGGCAGCAGUGGGGGAUAUUGCACAAUGGGGAGAACCCUGAUGCAGCGACGCCGCGUGGGUGAAGAAGCGCCUCGGCGCGUAAAGCUCUGUCAGCAGGGAAGAAAAUGACGGUACCUGAAGAAGAAGCCCCGGCUAACUACGUGCCAGCAGCCGCGGUAAUACGUAGGGAGCGAGCGUUAUCCGGAUUUACUGGGUGUAAAGGGGGCGCAGACGGCGUUGCAAGACAGGAGUGAGAGCCCGGGGCUCAACCCCGGGACUGCACUUGAAACUGGGUGGCUGGAGUGCAGGAGGGGCAGGCGGAAUUCGUGGUGUAGCGGUGAAAUGCGUAGAUAUCAGGAGGAACACCGGUGGCGAAGGCGG